This 253-nucleotide ribosomal RNA is filed under the name Staphylococcus aureus. Its description in RNAcentral is "partial 16S ribosomal RNA". It matches the Rfam family "Bacterial small subunit ribosomal RNA", at positions 1 to 243 of the family's 1533-position model. The record is from RNAcentral. Lineage: Bacteria; Bacillati; Bacillota; Bacilli; Caryophanales; Staphylococcaceae.
UUUAUGGAGAGUUUGAUCCUGGCUCAGGAUGAACGCUGGCGGCGUGCCUAAUACAUGCAAGUCGAGCGAACGGACGAGAAGCUUGCUUCUCUGAUGUUAGCGGCGGACGGGUGAGUAACACGUGGAUAACCUACCUAUAAGACUGGGAUAACUUCGGGAAACCGGAGCUAAUACCGGAUAAUAUUUUGAACCGCAUGGUUCAAAAGUGAAAGACGGUCUUGCUGUCACUUAUAGAUGGAUCCGCGCUGCAUUA